RNAcentral lists this ribosomal RNA (253 nucleotides) under uncultured bacterium. Its description in RNAcentral is "partial 16S ribosomal RNA". It matches the Rfam family "Bacterial small subunit ribosomal RNA", at positions 524 to 776 of the family's 1533-position model. The record is from RNAcentral.
GACGAGCCACACGAACGUUAUUCGGAAUUACUGGGCUUAAAGGGCGCGUAGGCGGCUUUGCAAGUGACGGGUGAAAUCCCUCGGCUUAACCGAGGAACUGCCUGUCAAACUGCAUGGCUUGAGACCGGGAGAGGUGAGUGGAAUUCCCAGUGUAGCGGUGAAAUGUGUAGAUAUUGGGAGGAACACCAGUGGCGAAGGCGGCUCACUGGACCGGUACUGACGCUGAUGCGCGAAAGCGUGGGGAGCAAACAGG